AUUGAACGCUGGCGGCAGGCCUAACACAUGCAAGUCGAGCGGUAGCACAGAGAGCUUGCUCUCGGGUGACGAGCGGCGGACGGGUGAGUAAUGUCUGGGAAACUGCCUGAUGGAGGGGGAUAACUACUGGAAACGGUAGCUAAUACCGCAUAACGUCGCAAGACCAAAGUGGGGGACCUUCGGGCCUCAUGCCAUCAGAUGUGCCCAGAUGGGAUUAGCUAGUAGGUGGGGUAACGGCUCACCUAGGCGACGAUCCCUAGCUGGUCUGAGAGGAUGACCAGCCACACUGGAACUGAGACACGGUCCAGACUCCUACGGGAGGCAGCAGUGGGGAAUAUUGCACAAUGGGCGCAAGCCUGAUGCAGCCAUGCCGCGUGUGUGAAGAAGGCCUUCGGGUUGUAAAGCACUUUCAGCGGGGAGGAAGGCGUUAAGGUUAAUAACCUUGGCGAUUGACGUUACCCGCAGAAGAAGCACCGGCUAACUCCGUGCCAGCAGCCGCGGUAAUACGGAGGGUGCAAGCGUUAAUCGGAAUUACUGGGCGUAAAGCGCACGCAGGCGGUCUGUCAAGUCGGAUGUGAAAUCCCCGGGCUCAACCUGGGAACUGCAUUCGAAACUGGCAGGCUAGAGUCUUGUAGAGGGGGGUAGAAUUCCAGGUGUAGCGGUGAAAUGCGUAGAGAUCUGGAGGAAUACCGGUGGCGAAGGCGGCCCCCUGGACAAAGACUGACGCUCAGGUGCGAAAGCGUGGGGAGCAAACAGGAUUAGAUACCCUGGUAGUCCACGCCGUAAACGAUGUCGAUUUGGAGGUUGUGCCCUUGAGGCGUGGCUUCCGGAGCUAACGCGUUAAAUCGACCGCCUGGGGAGUACGGCCGCAAGGUUAAAACUCAAAUGAAUUGACGGGGGCCCGCACAAGCGGUGGAGCAUGUGGUUUAAUUCGAUGCAACGCGAAGAACCUUACCUGGUCUUGACAUCCACAGAACUUUCCAGAAAUGGAUUGGUGCCUUCGGGAACUGUGAGACAGGUGCUGCAUGGCUGUCGUCAGCUCGUGUUGUGAAAUGUUGGGUUAAGUCCCGCAACGAGCGCAACCCUUAUCCUUUGUUGCCAGCGGUUCGGCCGGGAACUCAAAGGAGACUGCCAGUGAUAAACUGGAGGAAGGUGGGGAUGACGUCAAGUCAUCAUGGCCCUUACGACCAGGGCUACACACGUGCUACAAUGGCAUAUACAAAGAGAAGCGACCUCGCGAGAGCAAGCGGACCUCAUAAAGUAUGUCGUAGUCCGGAUUGGAGUCUGCAACUCGACUCCAUGAAGUCGGAAUCGCUAGUAAUCGUAGAUCAGAAUGCUACGGUGAAUACGUUCCCGGGCCUUGUACACACCGCCCGUCACACCAUGGGAGUGGGUUGCAAAAGAAGUAGGUAGCUUAACCUUCGGGAGGGCGCUUACCACUUUGUGAUUCAUGACUGGGGUGA
Molecule: ribosomal RNA, 1463 nt
Filed under: uncultured Klebsiella sp.
Lineage: Bacteria; Pseudomonadati; Pseudomonadota; Gammaproteobacteria; Enterobacterales; Enterobacteriaceae
Description: bacterial SSU rRNA
Rfam family: Bacterial small subunit ribosomal RNA
Source: RNAcentral